Molecule: ribosomal RNA, 390 nt
Filed under: uncultured bacterium
Lineage: Bacteria
Description: bacterial SSU rRNA
Rfam family: Bacterial small subunit ribosomal RNA
Source: RNAcentral
ACGAACGCUGGCGGCGUGCUUAACACAUGCAAGUCGAGCGAGGCCCACUCUUCGGGGUGGUGCCCUAGCGGCGAACGGGUGAGUAACACGUGGGCAACCUGCCCUCAGCUCUGGGAUAACUCCAAGAAAUUGGUGCUAAUACCGGAUGUGACCGCUGACCGCAUGGUCUGGUGGUGGAAAGAUUUAUCGGCUGAGGAUGGGCCCGCGGCCUAUCAGCUUGUUGGGGGUCACGGCCCACCAAGGCGACGACGGGUAGCCGGCCUGAGAGGGUGACCGGCCACACUGGGACUGAGACACGGCCCAGACUCCUACGGGAGGCAGCAGUGGGGAAUAUUGCGCAAUGGGCGAAAGCCUGACGCAGCGACGCCGCGUGAGGGAUGACGGCCUGGU